AAACAUUAGCAGGAACUUUAGAAUGGGCGAUGCUGAAUUUGUUGAACCAUCCAGAAGUACUAGAGAAAGCGAGGACCGAAAUCGAUACCAAAAUCGGUUUUGACCGGUUAAUAGAUGAAGCCGAUACUAAAAAUCUCCCUUAUCUCCAAUGGAUAGUGUUGGAGACCCUACGUCUUCAUCCAGCAGCUCCAACAAAUGUUCCACAUAUGACGUCAGAUGAUUGUAUGUUGGCAGGAUACGACGUUCCACGUGGUUCGAUGUUAUUGGUGAACAUAUGGGCCAUGCAUAGAGACCCGUCAGUAUGGGAAGACCCCGAAAUGUUCAAGCCAGAGAGGUUCGAAAAUCAAAAGCUUAAUCAAAAGUUGUUGUCGUUUGGGAUUGGACGAAGAGCUUGUCCUGGGGUUGGCCUAGCUCAUCGGUUACUGAGCUUGGCUCUUGGAUCGAUGGUUCAGUGUUUUGAAUGGCAGAGAAUUGGAGAAGAAUAUGUUGACACGAGAGAAGAACUUAUGGCCAUGAUGCGUCCUGCGACACCAUUGCUAGCCAUGUGUAAAGCUCGUCCCAUUGUCCAUAAGAUUCUUAAUGCUUUUGCUUGAAGUGUAACUAAAAAAAUAUGUACUAAAAAAAUUAUCAUGUCAAAAAAUCAAAUAGACAAACAUAUAACUUAUACAAAUUUCUAAAUUUUAAUAACUCGAAUUAAUUUUUUUUUUUUUUUGAGAAAUAUAGAGACUGACCGUUUACUAGGUCAGUUUUGGAGAGCCAUAGGUAAAGAGAUUAGAGAGUGAUGAUUGUUUCACAGGACAAAAGACGAUGACUUAAAAAGUCAACUCCAGUCUUCUCUCUUUUCGUUCCACCAAUAAUUUCAAUUCUCUAUUUCUCUUUUAAUCUCAUCUUCUUCUUCAAUCCAGUCUUCACAUCGACCACACAUGUUUCUUCAUCCAUUGACCUCAAAUACUUGACUUUCCCUCUUUCUCCUUCUCUGCAUCAAAGCUAUGGAGAAUUUCUGUUUUCAAAACUCUGUUUCUCUCUUUGUAUCGAUUAUGGUUCUUGUUCUUCUUCCUCGUCUCACUCUUUCUGCUACUUCGACGUACACUCGUCCUGAGAAGUUUUACGUCAACUGUGGAUCGGAUUCUAAUGUCUUUUAUGGUGGUCAGACCUUCGUUGGAGAUAAGAACUUCAGUGGUAACUCUGUUUCCUUCACCAAUAGAACUGAAGUCAUCGACAACCAAUCGUCCGUUGUGCCUGAAAUCUACCGGACGGUUAGGAUAUUCAGACGCCCUUCUUCUUACGAGUUCAAACUUGAUUCUCUUGGUCUGCACUUUGUGCGUCUCCAUUUCUCUGUUGUGUUUUCUCGGGCAGAUCUUUUAACUGCUCGGUUCACUGUCUCUGCAAUUUCUGGUUCUAAUCAUCACUUGAAAAGUUUCCCGCUUCAGAAUUUCACUGAGACCCCAAGAGUUGAAGAGUUUCUCCUGAUGAUGGACUCGCUGGAGUUCGAAAUUCGAUUAGUGCCGGAUCAUUCCUCUUUGGCUUUCGUCAACGCCAUUGAAGUGUUCCCUGCUCCUAAUGACCUCGAAAUUCAGCCAGAUUUCGACAAGAAUCUGCAUAUGAUUUACAGAUUAAACGUAGGAGGUGAGAAAAUCACACCGGAUAAUGAUACCUUGGGACGAACUUGGUCGCCUGAUGAUGAAGACUUUCUCUACCGAAAAGAUUCUGCGAGGAACAUUAAUUCAACACAAACGCCUAACUACAAUACAGCAGGGUCACUGUCAGCCACGGAAUUCACUGCUCCUGCUUUCGUCUACAAGACAGCUAAAGCAAUGAACCGCAGCUCGAAUGAGCGGGUGGGGAUGUUGACGAAUGUUACAUGGUCGUUCAAGGUCAAAAGUAACUAUAGACACUUCAUCAGGAUUCAUUUCUCUGAUAUUUUAAGUAACUUCUCAAACUCCGACUCCGAUUUCUAUCUCUAUGUAAAUGGGUACUGGCGAGUAGAUGUAAAGCCUUCAGAGCAGCCUAAGUUGGCAACUCCGUUUUUUAUCGAUGUCGUGAAUGUCUCUGAUGGUUCUGGACUCUUGAAUAUUAGUAUAGGUACUAAGGAGGCCGAUAAAGAUGCUGGUUUUCUGAAUGGUCUGGAGAUGAUGGAGUUUUUGAUUAAAUCUGGUUCUGAUUCUUCAAAUAGAAGCAGUUCCCGGGUUCAUAUCAUCGCUGGUUGUGUUUCUGCUGCUGCAUCGGCUCUGGUCUUGAGUUUGUUGUUUAUGGUAUUCUUGAAGCGGAGGAGAUCGAAGAAGACUAAGCCAGACGUUGAAGGCACUGUAUGGUCUCCUUUGCCAUUGCACAGAGGUGGAAGUUCAGACAAUAGACCUAUCUCACAAUACCACAACUCGCCAUUACGCAACCUACACUUAGGCUUAACGAUUCCCUUCACAGACAUUCUGAGCGCUACAAACAAUUUCGACGAGGAGUUGUUGAUCGGGAAAGGCGGGUUCGGAGAUGUUUACAAAGCUAUUCUUCCUGAUGGAACCAAAGCCGCUAUCAAAAGAGGCAAAACCGGCUCAGGACAAGGCAUCUUAGAGUUUCAAACCGAGAUUCAAGUCCUCUCAAGAAUCCGGCACAAACACCUCGUCUCUCUAACGGGCUACUGCGAAGAAAACUCGGAAAUGAUCCUCGUCUACGAGUUUAUGGAGAAAGGUACACUUAAAGAACAUCUAUACGGCUCGAAUCUACCUCCCUUGUCAUGGAAACAAAGACUAGAGAUCUGCAUUGGAGCAGCUAGAGGUUUACAUUAUCUCCACAGUUGCGCAGAAGGAGUAAUCAUACACAGAGACGUCAAAUCCACAAACAUACUACUAGACGAGAACACUAUAGCCAAAGUCGCCGAUUUCGGACUCUCGAAACUCACGAUUCGUAAUCAAGAUCCAACUAAUAUCAGCCUAAACAUCAAAGGAACAUUCGGUUACUUAGAUCCAGAGUAUCUCCAAACACAUAUCUUAACAGAGAAAUCUGACGUUUACGCAUUCGGAGUCGUCCUCCUCGAGGUUUUGUUAGCGAGACCAGCUCUAGAUUGUACUCUACGUUACGAAGAAGCGAAUCUAGCGGAAUGGGCGUUGUUCUGCAAAUCAGAAGGUAAAAUCGAUGAGAUCUUAGAUCCGAGUUUGAUAGGUCAAAUUGAGACGAAUUCUUUGAAGAAAUUCAUGGAGAUUGCUGAGAAAUGUUUGAAAGAGUGUGGAGAUGAGAGACCGAGUAUGGGAGAUGUGAUUUGGGAUCUUGAGUAUGUUCUUCAGCUUCAGAUGAUGACGAUUCGUAGAGAAGCUCAUGAAGAAGAUAGUACGGCGAUUGUCUCCUCUGGUGGUUCGUUGGUGGCUCCGAGGUUGAUGGUGAGUGAUUCGUUUAGCACGAACUCGUUUGUUCAGAAGGAUGAUGAAUCGAAGAACAGAUUUGGAUUUACGGAUUCGUCGGAGACUCGAGUUUUUUCGCAGUUGAAGAUCUCUGACGCAAGAUGAUAAAAUCAUUUUCAAUUGUGUGUAAAAUUAUAAAUUUCUUGAAAUGUGUCUCUGGUUCAAUUUCAAAAUUUAAAAGCCGGUUAUUUCCGGUUUAUAGAUAAUCGGAAAUAUGGAGAAUUGGAGACGUUUUCCAAGUUCACCAAAUAUUACAUUUUGGAUGUAAACAUUAUUCCGACUUGGUUGGGAUAAACUGACGAAACUUGAAAUUUAAAACUGUGGCUAUAACUUUGUCAUUUAAAAAAAAAAGAAGAUAGAAAUACAUGACAAUAUAACUAUACAUAUUAAGUAUCAUCCAAAAAAAAAAAAACAUCAUCCAUCAAAAAUUUAUAAAUUAGCGAUUUAAAUAUACUUGGAUCAUAAAAAAAUAUAAUUCGAUAAGACUAAUCAAAUUUGAAUACCAUAAAGUCAUUAAACGAAUCAUGUAACAAUAAUUCGACAAAAUGAAAAUAUAUCACGUAAAAGAAUAAUCACAUGUAUCGGGAAAAAUAAAAAUAAAAAAUCAAUCAAACUAAUAUAUAUGUCAAACCGUGUAAUAUGGACUUUGGGACACCUUGAGUAAAUAUUAGAGAGUGAUGUUUCUUCCUUAUUAUUCAAACCAAUAAUUUCAAUUCUCUAUUUUUCCUUCAAUCUCCUCUUCUUCCAUCCUCUUCACAUAAACCACAAAUGUUUCUUAAUCAAUUGACCUCAAAUACUUGACUUUCAUUAUUUACUCCUCUCUCUCCCGUCUAAGCUAUGGAGAAUCUCUGUUUUUUGAACGUUGUUUCUCUCUUUGUGAUGAUGGUGGUUAUUGUUCUUCUUCCUCAGCUCACUCUUUCUGCAUCAUCUACAUAUCCUCGUCCCGAGAAGUUUUAUGUCAACUGUGAGUCGCGGUCUAAUGUCACAUAUGGUGGUCGGACUUUCGUUGGAGAUAUGACCUUGGGUGGUAACUACGUUUUCUUCACCAGUGAAGGAACUGAAGCCAUCAACCAAUUUGUUUUGUGUUGCUCAAUUUCCAUAACUUAGCUGAAUUCUUGUACUCAAAGAUCUUGUAUAGCUGGCUAUGCUACUUGGGAUGGCGGAUCCGAAUUUAUUUUAUGAAUGUUGAUAUAUUACACGUGUUUAAUUGCAUGGGACGUGAACAUAUCUUUAGUGACGGGUGGGAUAAACUCCAUGACAACACCAAAACUUGAUCUCUCGCUUUCGUCAUUGAACAUCUUUUUUUCAUCAUCAUGCUCCACGUGAACUCUCGCUUACGUUAUAAACUAAGCUAUAACUUCUAACAACCAUGCAUGUUUCAGUUCAACACAUUUACAAGUUCUUAGAUCUAAUGGAGACUCAUUUCCUAAUUUUAUCUCUCAUCUUCUUUGUUUUCAUUUCUCUUAAACUUUUGUUUGGUAAACGGCAUAGCAAGUUUAACCUACCACCAAGUCCGGCUUGGCCCUUGCCGUUGAUUGGACACCUUCACCUCCUGAAGCUCCCGCUUCACCGCACAUUCCUCUCUUUCUCUCAAUCCUUAGGUGACGCCCCAAUUUUCUCCCUCCGCCUCGGAAACCGUCUCACGGUUGUCGUCUCAUCCUACUCCAUCGCUGAAGAAUGCUUUACAAAAAACGACAUUGUUUUCGCCAAUAGGCCAGAGUUGAUUCUCGGGAAACAUAUUGAGUACAACUCCACCACUAUGACUAGUGCGCCUUACGGUGACCACUGGCGAAACUUGCGCCGUAUCGCCACCUUGGAGAUCUUCGCGUCACAUAAGCUUAACGGCUUCUUAUAUGUCCGUAAGGAUGAGAUCCGACACUUGUUACUACGUCUCUCCAAAAACUCGCGACAUGUAUGUGAGCUUCUACAUAUCUUAAAAUUUAUCUAAAUAUAUAUAACCUAGUCAUUUGUAGUAGUGUUGCCACUCUAUCAUUACACGGGUCUAAACCCGGCAAUAUGGUAAAAAAACUCACAAUGGAAAAAAAAUAUGUUUAUACAUAGUCUUAACCAAAAAAAAAGAUUGAGAAGUAUGAAAAUGAAAAAUUUGAGAAUAAUUCAUUUUUAAAAUCUUAUUAUAAAAUCAGGAGUUUGCGAAAGUGGAGAUGAGACAUUUGCUUUUUGAGUUGACUAUCAACAACGUUUUUAGAAUGGUAGCGGGGAAACGAUUUUAUGGUGAGGGCACAGAGCAAGACGAAGUUGCGCAGCAAGUGAGACAGCUGAUGGACGAGAUUGUAACCAGCGCUGGCGCCGGGAAUGCAGCCGACUAUUUACCAAUCAUGCGUUGGAUCACAGAUUUUGAGAAACGCGUCAAGAAGUUAGCGAUUCGGAUCGAUAAGUUUUUGCAGAGUCUAGUGGAUGAGAAACGUGCUGAUAAAGAAAAGGGUACCACAAUGAUAGAUCACUUGCUUUCUCUCCAAGCAACUCAGCCUGAUUAUUAUACAGAUGUCAUUCUUAAAGGACUCAUAGUUGUAAGUAUUGCGUAAUCCAUAUACUAUCUUUAAGAACACUAAUCUAACAUUAUGAUGGUUGAUCAAUUUUGAAUUUACAGGUUAUGAUAAUUGCUGGAUCUGAAACAAUUGCAUGGACUUUAGAAUGGGCGAUGUUGAAUUUGUUGAACCAUCCAGAAGUGUUAAAGAAAGCUAGGACCGAAAUCGAUACGAAAAUCGGUUUUGACCGGUUGAUUGAUGAAGCGGAUACUAAAAAUCUCCCUUAUCUCCAAUGGAUAGUGUUGGAGACCCUACGUCUUCACCCGGCAGCUCCAACAAAUGUUCCA
This 6222-nucleotide long non-coding RNA is filed under the name Arabidopsis lyrata. Its description in RNAcentral is "long non-coding RNA (ALYR_LNC001887)". The record is from RNAcentral. Lineage: Eukaryota; Viridiplantae; Streptophyta; Magnoliopsida; Brassicales; Brassicaceae.